RNAcentral lists this ribosomal RNA (1362 nucleotides) under uncultured bacterium. Its description in RNAcentral is "bacterial SSU rRNA". It matches the Rfam family "Bacterial small subunit ribosomal RNA", at positions 28 to 1381 of the family's 1533-position model. The record is from RNAcentral.
AUUGAACGCUGGCGGCAGGCCUAACACAUGCAAGUCGAACGGUAACAGGAAACAGCUUGCUGUUUCGCUGACGAGUGGCGAACGGGUGAGUAAUGUCUGGGAAACUGCCUGAUGGAGGGGGAUAACUACUGGAAACGGUAGCUAAUACCGCAUAACGUCGCAAGACCAAAGAGGGGGACCCUCGGGCCUCUUGCCAUCGGAUGUGCCCAGAUGGGAUUAGCUUGUUGGUGGGGUAACGGCUCACCAAGGCGACGAUCCCUAGCUGGUCUGAGAGGAUGACCAGCCACACUGGAACUGAGACACGGUCCAGACUCCUACGGGAGGCAGCAGUGGGGAAUAUUGCACAAUGGGCGCAAGCCUGAUGCAGCCAUGCCGCGUGUAUGAAGAAGGCCUUCGGGUUGUAAAGUACUUUCAGCGGGGAGGAAGGGAGUAAAGUUAAUACCUUUGCUCAUUGACGUUACCCGCAGAAGAAGCACCGGCUAACUCCGUGCCAGCAGCCGCGGUAAUACGGAGGGUGCAAGCGUUAAUCGGAAUUACUGGGCGUAAAGCGCACGCAGGCGGUUUGUUAAGUCAGAUGUGAAAUCCCCGGGCUCAACCUGGGAACUGCAUCUGAUACUGGCAAGCUUGAGUCUCGUAGAGGGGGGUAGAAUUCCAGGUGUAGCGGUGAAAUGCGUAGAGAUCUGGAGGAAUACCGGUGGCGAAGGCGGCCCCCUGGACGAAGACUGACGCUCAGGUGCGAAAGCGUGGGGAGCAAACAGGAUUAGAUACCCUGGUAGUCCACGCCGUAAACGAUGUCGACUUGGAGGUUGUGCCCUUGAGGCGUGGCUUCCGGAGCUAACGCGUUAAGUCGACCGCCUGGGGAGUACGGCCGCAAGGUUAAAACUCAAAUGAAUUGACGGGGGCCCGCACAAGCGGUGGAGCAUGUGGUUUAAUUCGAUGCAACGCGAAGAACCUUACCUGGUCUUGACAUCCACGGAAGUUUUCAGAGAUGAGAAUGUGCCUUCGGGAACCGUGAGACAGGUGCUGCAUGGCUGUCGUCAGCUCGUGUUGUGAAAUGUUGGGUUAAGUCCCGCAACGAGCGCAACCCUUAUCCUUUGUUGCCAGCGGUCCGGCCGGGAACUCAAAGGAGACUGCCAGUGAUAAACUGGAGGAAGGUGGGGAUGACGUCAAGUCAUCAUGGCCCUUACGACCAGGGCUACACACGUGCUACAAUGGCGCAUACAAGAGAAGCGACCUCGCGAGAGCAAGCGGACCUCAUAAAGUGCGUCGUAGUCCGGAUUGGAGUCUGCAACUCGACUCCAUGAAGUCGGAAUCGCUAGUAAUUGUGGAUCAGAAUGCCACGGUGAAUACGUUCCCGGGCCU